RNAcentral lists this ribosomal RNA (479 nucleotides) under uncultured bacterium. RNAcentral describes it as "partial 16S ribosomal RNA". It matches the Rfam family "Bacterial small subunit ribosomal RNA", at positions 28 to 523 of the family's 1533-position model. The record is from RNAcentral.
GACGAACGCUGGCGGCGUGCUUAACACAUGCAAGUCGAACGGAAAGGCCCGCUUGCGGGUACUCGAGUGGCGAACGGGUGAGUAACACGUGGGCAACCUGCCCUCAGCUCUGGGAUAACUCCGGGAAACCGGUGCUAAUACUGGAUACGACUGCGCAUCGCAUGGUGUGUGGUGGAAAGUUUUUCGGCUGAGGAUGGGCCCGCGGCCUAUCAGCUUGUUGGUGGGGUAAUGGCCUACCAAGGCGACGACGGGUAGCCGGCCUGAGAGGGCGACCGGCCACACUGGGACUGAGACACGGCCCAGACUCCUACGGGAGGCAGCAGUGGGGAAUAUUGCGCAAUGGGCGAAAGCCUGACGCAGCGACGCCGCGUGAGGGAUGACGGCCUUCGGGUUGUAAACCUCUUUCAGCUCUGACGAAGCGAAAGUGACGGUAGGAGCAGAAGAAGCACCGGCCAACUACGUGCCAGCCGCCGCCGUAA